AUGGCGGGCGACUCUCCGGCCACCGCCUCCGCCUCCGCCCCCGCCCCCGCCCCCGCCCCGGCGUCGCCGUGCCCCGCCCCCUCCCGGCCCACGGACCCCGACUUCCUCAGCUGCGUCCUCCAGCCCCCGACCCCCUCCUCCUCAACCUCCCGCCCCGACCCCGACUACGCCGCCCUCCGCCGCCUCCUCCUCCGCCGCAAGUCCUCCUCCGCGCUCAACCACCGCAUGGAGUGGCGGUGCAACGGCAAGGGCUACGUCGUCUACCGGAACUUCCUCCUCCGCCGUAUCGAAGCCGCCUCAAGCAGCGCCCACAGCACGCCCAGCAACAGUGGGAGGUGGUUUGCUAGCCCUACUACAUUUUCUGAAGCAGACAGCUGGAGUUCUAUCAGGGACCUCAGAAGUAACAGCGGUAAGUUAAGCCGCACCUUGAGUGUCAGCUCAAAGCAUAGUGAACCUGAGCGCCAUGUCAGAUUCGCCGAACCUGCGUACUCGUUUGUUGGAAUGCAUUGCAUCUUUGACAACUGCAAAGCAUCAGUUACCGUAUUGCAAUUUGGCCGCACGAAUUCAGAUCUGCUUGCUUAUGGUUCAUCCGAUGGCAGUUUGACGGUUUGCCAGGUUUCUGAGCCACCCUCUGUUCUUCAAAAAUUAACAGGACAUUCAAAAGAUAUCACAGAUUUUGAUUUUUCAUCUAAUAACCAGUACAUAGCUUCAUGCUCCAUGGAUAAAACUGUGAGAGUGUGGGAGAUCUCUAAAGGCACUUGUAUCAGAGUCGUAUAUGGAGUUUCUUCCCAGCUAUGCAUCUGCUUUCAUCCCGUGAACAAUAAUUUGCUGUUAGUUGGCAAUGCAAACAGGGAAAUCAAUGCAAUUAAUUUUAGUACUGGGAGAGUAAUCAGCAAACUCACCUGUGACAAUGCGGUUACAGCAUUGGAUAUCGACCACACUGGUCAGCUUAUUUUUGCUGGUGACGCGCAGGGUUACAUAUACACUAUUAGUGUGAACUCUCACACAGGGUCUUUAUCUAGAACUCAUAAGAACAAGAGUUGUAAGAGCAAAUCUUCCGUUACAACCAUCCAGUACCGUACCUUCUCUCUCGUAGCACGUUGUCCAGUACUUCUCUCUUGUGCUCAAGAUGGAAACCUGUAUUUCUUCAGCAUUGCAACAAAUUCCCAUGGAUACUUGACUCUCAUAUGCUCUCUAAAAUUGGCUUCACCAGUGCAGAAUAUCCGUGCUUCUUUCUGUCCACUUCUUUCCCUUGAGAAAGGGGAAUUCAUAGUUACUGGCAGUGGAGAUUCGAAUGUUUACUUCUAUGAUUUGGCUCGGCCAAAGAAUUCAUGUGUAAAUAAACUGCAGGGACACGGCUCUCCAGUAAUGGGAGUAGCCUGGAAUCACGGGGAAAAUUUGCUCGCCUCAUCCGAUUCAGACGGUACAGUUAUUGUAUGGAAACGAGCAAAAACUAAUUAG
Molecule: ribosomal RNA, 1461 nt
Filed under: Triticum aestivum (bread wheat)
Lineage: Eukaryota; Viridiplantae; Streptophyta; Magnoliopsida; Poales; Poaceae
Description: partial small subunit ribosomal RNA
Source: RNAcentral